RNAcentral lists this ribosomal RNA (338 nucleotides) under uncultured Bacillota bacterium. RNAcentral describes it as "bacterial SSU rRNA". It matches the Rfam family "Bacterial small subunit ribosomal RNA", at positions 28 to 351 of the family's 1533-position model. Lineage: Bacteria; Bacillati; Bacillota. The record is from RNAcentral.
GACGAACGCUGGCGGCGUGCCUAAUACAUGCAAGUCGAGCGGAGAUUUCAGAAGUGCUUGCACUUCUGGGAUUUCAGCGGCGGACGGGUGAGUAACACGUAGGUAACCUGCCUGUAAGACUGGGAUAACUAUCGGAAACGGUAGCUAAUACCGGAUAAUUUGUUCUUCACAUGAAGAGAUACUGAAAGGCGGAGCAAUCUGCCACUUAUAGAUGGACCUGCGGCGCAUUAGCUAGUUGGUGAGGUAACGGCUCACCAAGGCGACGAUGCGUAGCCGACCUGAGAGGGUGAACGGCCACACUGGGACUGAGACACGGCCCAGACUCCUACGGGUGGCUG